GACGAACGCUGGCGGCGUGCCUAAUACAUGCAAGUCGAGCGGAUGGAAGGAAGCUUGCUUCCUAAAGUCAGCGGCGGACGGGUGAGUAACACGUGGGCAACCUGCCCCUAAGAUCGGGAUAACUUCGGGAAACCGGAGCUAAUACCGGAUAUGAUUAUGUCUCACAUGAGACAUAAUGGAAAGACGGUUUCGGCUGUCACUUAGGGAUGGGCCCGCGGCGCAUUAGCUAGUUGGUGAGGUAACGGCUCACCAAGGCGACGAUGCGUAGCCGACCUGAGAGGGUGAUCGGCCACACUGGGACUGAGACACGGCCCAGACUCCUACGGGAGGCAGCAGUAGGGAAUCUUCCGCAAUGGACGAAAGUCUGACGGAGCAACGCCGCGUGAGUGAAGAAGGUUUUCGGAUCGUAAAACUCUGUUGUUAGGGAAGAACAAGUACCAUAGUAACUGAUGGUACCUUGACGGUACCUAACCAGAAAGCCACGGCUAACUACGUGCCAGCCGCCGCGGUAA
Molecule: ribosomal RNA, 512 nt
Filed under: uncultured bacterium
Lineage: Bacteria
Description: partial 16S ribosomal RNA
Rfam family: Bacterial small subunit ribosomal RNA
Source: RNAcentral